AACGAACGCUGGCGGCAUGCCUAACACAUGCAAGUCGAACGAGACCUUCGGGUCUAGUGGCGCACGGGUGCGUAACGCGUGGGAAUCUGCCCUUGGGUUCGGAAUAACUCAGAGAAAUUUGAGCUAAUACCGAAUGAUGUCGCAAGACCAAAGAUUUAUCGCCCAAGGAUGAGCCCGCGUAGGAUUAGCUUGUUGGUGAGGUAAAAGCUCACCAAGGCGACGAUCCUUAGCUGGUCUGAGAGGAUGAUCAGCCACACUGGGACUGAGACACGGCCCAGACUCCUACGGGAGGCAGCAGUGGGGAAUAUUGGACAAUGGGCGAAAGCCUGAUCCAGCAAUGCCGCGUGAGUGAUGAAGGCCUUAGGGUUGUAAAGCUCUUUUACCAGGGAUGAUAAUGACAGUACCUGGAGAAUAAGCUCCGGCUAACUCCGUGCCAGCAGCCGCGGUAAAGUCUGUACU
This 459-nucleotide ribosomal RNA is filed under the name uncultured bacterium. RNAcentral describes it as "bacterial SSU rRNA". It matches the Rfam family "Bacterial small subunit ribosomal RNA", at positions 29 to 531 of the family's 1533-position model. The record is from RNAcentral.